Molecule: ribosomal RNA, 294 nt
Filed under: uncultured bacterium
Lineage: Bacteria
Description: partial 16S ribosomal RNA
Rfam family: Bacterial small subunit ribosomal RNA
Source: RNAcentral
GGAUUAGAUACCCUGGUAGUCCACGCCCUAAACGAUGGAUACUAGAUGUCGGAUUUCCUAAUAGAUUCGGUGUCGUAGCUAACGCGUUAAGUAUCCCGCCUGGGGAUUACGGUCGCAAGAUUAAAACUCAAAGGAAUUGACGGGGGCCCGCACAAGCGGUGGAGCAUGUGGUUUAAUUCGAUGCUACGCGAAGAACCUUACCUAGGCUUGACAUCCCGGGCUACCCUGUGAAAGCAGGGGUUCUCUUCGGAGACUCGGUGACAGGUGCUGCAUGGCUGUCGUCAGCUCGUGCUG